RNAcentral lists this ribosomal RNA (1345 nucleotides) under uncultured bacterium. RNAcentral's name for it is "bacterial SSU rRNA". It matches the Rfam family "Bacterial small subunit ribosomal RNA", at positions 27 to 1381 of the family's 1533-position model. The record is from RNAcentral.
GGAUGAACGCUGGCGGCGUGCUUAACACAUGCAAGUCGAACGAUGAAAGCGGGAGCUUGCUCCUGCUGGAUUAGUGGCGAACGGGUGAGUAACACGUGAGUAACCUGCCCUUGACUCUGGGAUAAGCGUUGGAAACGACGUCUAAUACCGGAUACGACCUUCGGAGGCAUCUCCUGGGGGUGGAAAGAAUUUCGGUCAAGGAUGGACUCGCGGCCUAUCAGCUAGUUGGUGAGGUAAUGGCUCACCAAGGCGGCGACGGGUAGCCGGCCUGAGAGGGUGACCGGCCACACUGGGACUGAGACACGGCCCAGACUCCUACGGGAGGCAGCAGUGGGGAAUAUUGCACAAUGGGCGCAAGCCUGAUGCAGCAACGCCGCGUGAGGGACGACGGCCUUCGGGUUGUAAACCUCUUUUAGUAGGGAAGAAGCGAAAGUGACGGUACCUGCAGAAAAAGCACCGGCUAACUACGUGCCAGCAGCCGCGGUAAUACGUAGGGUGCAAGCGUUAUCCGGAGUUAUUGGGCGUAAAGAGCUCGUAGGCGGUUUGUCACGUCUGCUGUGAAAACUGGAGGCUCAACCUCCAGCCUGCAGUGGGUACGGGCAGACUAGAGUGCGGUAGGGGAGAUUGGAAUUCCUGGUGCAGCGGUGGAAUGCGCAGAUAUCAGGAGGAACACCGUUGGCGAAGGCAGAUCUCUGGGCCGUAACUGACGCUGAGGAGCGAAAGCAUGGGGAGCGAACAGGAUUAGAUACCCUGGUAGUCCAUGCCGUAAACGUUGGGAACUAGAUGUAGGGACCAUUCCACGGUUUCUGUGUCGCAGCUAACGCAUUAAGUUCCCCGCCUGGGGAGUACGGCCGCAAGGCUAAAACUCAAAGGAAUUGACGGGGGCCCGCACAAGCGGCGGAGCAUGCGGAUUAAUUCGAUGCAACGCGAAGAACCUUACCAAGGCUUGACAUAUACCGGAAAAGUUCAGAAAUGUUCUCCCCGCAAGGUCGGUAUACAGGUGGUGCAUGGUUGUCGUCAGCUCGUGUCGUGAGAUGUUGGGUUAAGUCCCGCAACGAGCGCAACCCUCGUUCUAUGUUGCCAGCACGUAAUGGUGGGAACUCAUAGGAGACUGCCGGGGUCAACUCGGAGGAAGGUGGGGAUGACGUCAAAUCAUCAUGCCCCUUAUGUCUUGGGCUUCACGCAUGCUACAAUGGCCGAUACAAAGGGCUGCAAUACCGCGAGGUGGAGCGAAUCCCAAAAAGUCGGUCUCAGUUCGGAUUGAGGUCUGCAACUCGACCUCAUGAAGUCGGAGUCGCUAGUAAUCGCAGAUCAGCAACGCUGCGGUGAAUACGUUCCCGGGCCU